GGUGGCUCAGUGGUAGAGUGUUUGCCUUAUAUGCAUGAGGACCUGGGUUCGAUUCCUAAGCACCA
RNAcentral lists this transfer RNA (65 nucleotides) under Dipodomys ordii (Ord's kangaroo rat). It matches the Rfam family "tRNA". Rfam says of the family: Transfer RNA (tRNA) molecules are approximately 80 nucleotides in length. The record is from Rfam by way of RNAcentral. Lineage: Eukaryota; Metazoa; Chordata; Mammalia; Rodentia; Heteromyidae.